RNAcentral lists this ribosomal RNA (445 nucleotides) under uncultured bacterium. RNAcentral's name for it is "partial 16S ribosomal RNA". It matches the Rfam family "Bacterial small subunit ribosomal RNA", at positions 354 to 796 of the family's 1533-position model. The record is from RNAcentral.
GUGAGGAAUAUUGGUCAAUGGACGAGAGUCUGAACCAGCCAAGUAGCGUGAAGGAUGAAGGUCCUACGGAUUGUAAACUUCUUUUAUAAGGGAAUAAACCCUCCCACGUGUGGGAGCUUGUAUGUACCUUAUGAAUAAGCAUCGGCUAACUCCGUGCCAGCAGCCGCGGUAAUACGGAGGAUGCGAGCGUUAUCCGGAUUUAUUGGGUUUAAAGGGAGCGCAGACGGGUCGUUAAGUCAGCUGUGAAAGUUUGGGGCUCAACCUUAAAAUUGCAGUUGAUACUGGCGUCCUUGAGUGCGGUUGAGGUGUGCGGAAUUCGUGGUGUAGCGGUGAAAUGCUUAGAUAUCACGAAGAACUCCGAUUGCGAAGGCAGCGCACUAAUCCGUAACUGACGUUCAUGCUCGAAAGUGUGGGUAUCAAACAGGAUUAGAAACCCCGGUAGUCC